Molecule: ribosomal RNA, 396 nt
Filed under: uncultured bacterium
Lineage: Bacteria
Description: bacterial SSU rRNA
Rfam family: Bacterial small subunit ribosomal RNA
Source: RNAcentral
CAGCCCUUGACAUGGGACUCGCCGGGAGCAGAGACGCUCCCUUCGGUUCGGCCGGAGUCCGCACAGGUGCUGCAUGGCUGUCGUCAGCUCGUGUCGUGAGAUGUUGGGUUAAGUCCCGCAACGAGCGCAACCCUCGUCUCCAGUUGCCAUCAGGUUAUGCUGGGCACUUUGGAGAAACUGCCGGUGACAAGCCGGAGGAAGGUGGGGAUGACGUCAAGUCCUCAUGGCCCUUACGGGCUGGGCUACACACGUGCUACAAUGGCGGUGACAAUGGAAUGCGAUGGGGCGACCCGGAGCCGAUCCUAAAAAACCGUCUCAGUUCGGAUUGCACUCUGCAACUCGAGUGCAUGAAGUUGGAAUCGCUAGUAAUCGUGGAUCAGCGCGCCACGGUGAAUA